CGCCUUGCGCCAGUUCUGUCCCCAACGUUUUUAACGGCGCGUUAUCUUUUUGGACUUGAAUUGGUUCCGACAAGAAUGGUAAGCUCUUUUUGUUUGCAUCUUAAUUUUAUAAAAUAAGUUCUUAUUUCAUGUUUUGAGAGAUUAAUAAUGAAUUUUUGCAGCUUUUAGAUAGUUAUGGAUUAGGAAAUUAUUUGAGUUUGUAUUGAUUUAGGGUUUUUAAUUUAGUCAUUUUGAAACUGUAGGGAAGGUUACUUACAGGAGUCACCAUUGGAGUGGUUAUAGCUGGAGGGGUUUAUGUCAGCAUGGUUGACUAAGCGUCCCAUUCGGGUACUUAAUUUGCGUGUCAAGAUAUGAUCGAUAGAAUCUGAGGUGCAGUUGAAGCAUUUUCUAGAAGAAAUUUGUCAGGUGGCGCCCGUCAAUGUUUCACGAAACCAGAUUUGUGAUGAUGUACCGUCAUCAAAAUAUGUGUUGCCUAAUUCUGAGAUAAUUUGGUCCUCUCAAAAUAUCAAGAUAGGGAUUUUUCGAAACAGGCUGCCACCGCUGGCAGCAGACCAGGCUCCUCAGCGAUGUGGGUUAGAAUAUAAGUUAAGGGAUAAGAUGUAAACGUGUACUAGACGAGGAAGGC
Long non-coding RNA from Helianthus annuus (common sunflower), 625 nucleotides. RefSeq lists it as uncharacterized. Lineage: Eukaryota; Viridiplantae; Streptophyta; Magnoliopsida; Asterales; Asteraceae. The record is from RefSeq and is a predicted model, not a curated record. The transcript has 3 exons.